Molecule: long non-coding RNA, 1519 nt
Filed under: Numida meleagris (helmeted guineafowl)
Lineage: Eukaryota; Metazoa; Chordata; Aves; Galliformes; Numididae
Description: lncRNA (ENSNMEG00000001871.1)
Source: RNAcentral
GUUUUUGUUAUAAAAGUCCUACUUCACUACUCAUUUCAAAAUUGUCUACACAUGAAAUUUAAAAUGUAGUUGAGAAAGAAUAUUUACAGUUGGAAAUUACAAUCACAAUCUCCUACAUCAUCUGAUCAACUGCACAUAUUAUUCUCAAGGCAAAGGCAACACUACUUUCUAGCCAAAUUUAUGAGGGGAAAAGACAUGGACAAAUAUAUUUGAAAAGCCAAUUAAUUGUAACAUACUCUAGUAACGAAAGAAAAAGAGUUGAGUUUGUUUGAAAUUGAAAGAGUAAGCCUCACCUGACAUCAUUUUGUCCUAAGUAUUGAAAUCUUUGAUAAACACAGCAUAGCCAGCUGGUCAGAAGAGGUGAUUCUCCCACUGUAUUUAGCAGUGGUGCAACCUCAUCUUGAAAAUUCCAAGCUCCAUGAUAGAAAUGGUCAUGGUCCUUGAAAGCAUCCAGAAGAGGGCAAUGCAGCUGGAAGGCAUGUCCUGUGAGGAGAGGCUGAGGGCACUCAGACUGCCCAGUCUGGGGCAGAGGAGGACAAGAGACGACCUCACUGCUCUCUGCAGCUCCUGAGGAGGGGAAGCAGAGGGAGGUGCCGGGCCCUGCUCUUGGGAACUGAUGGCAGAACGGGAACAGCACAGAGCUGCCAGGGGAGGGUCUGGCUGGGCAGAAGAAAGCAUUUCUGAGCUGUGAGGGUGGUCAGACAAUGGGACAUGAUUCCUACCAAAGUGGUUGAUGCCCCAUGACUGUCAGUGCUUAAGGCAGAUUUGGACAAGGCCCUCAGUAAUGUGCUUUAACUUUUGGCUAGCUCUGAAAUGCUCAGGCAGUUAGAAAUGACGAUCUCUGAAGGUCCCUUUCAAGUGAACUAUCCUAUCCUAUCCUAUCCUAUCCUAUCCUAUCCUAUCCUAUCCUAUCCUAUCCUAUCCUAUCCUAUCCUAUCCUAUCAUAAACCUGAUGAAAUUGUUACUCUGAUAUUAAUAAGGGGGGACCUACACAAACUGCUUGAGAAAUCUCUGUUAUGCAUAUCAAGAUACUUCAUGGCCCAAGGUCAACAAAAGCAGUCCCAACAGAAGAGUCCUAGUAGAGGUGAUCUUCAUUUGGAGCAUGCAAAAGAGAAACAACAUUGAGAAGAGGUGCAAAUGGCUUCAAGCUUCCCUCUACCAAACUGCAAUAACCACUAAGUUAUUACAUCUAUAAGAACAUGGACAGUCCAAGAACAACUAAGAAAUUCAGAGCUCUAAAUUUAUGGCCUGCAAAUGAUGAUUAUGAUCUGCAAAUCCCUUGGCAGACUGAACAAGCUUUGGAAUGACAUGAUCCAGAACAGAGAGUAUACAGAAAUUUGAUGUAACAUAAUCCUUAUGCAAACACUGUGGGUAGUGCUGUCAAUAGUCAAACAAACAGUAAAUUUGAAGGUUGGAGAUAGGACUGUAAUGCCUUGCCAUUCCCAGUAGAUCAGUGCUCAAUAAUAUUGACAGUGACCUGGGAUUCUAUGUGAAUAAAGAAAAAAACUGUUUUUGCCCA